This 2085-nucleotide long non-coding RNA is filed under the name Gallus gallus (chicken). Lineage: Eukaryota; Metazoa; Chordata; Aves; Galliformes; Phasianidae. The record is from RNAcentral.
CAAUACCUGUAUUUUAAAACUUGGAGUAAGAUUUACUCAGGUUUUGUAAUAUAAAAAAGUCUUUCACGAUCUGAAGUGAAGCUGCAGUAAUUUUUUUCAGGAAAAAAAAACACACCACCGAAAUCAAAAAACCACCGAGUUAAGAUUUCUACAUAAAUGGCUGUCUUGAAAUGCUCCCCUUCUGGGGUUCAGGAAGAUCUUGAUGAGCACCUCCAGUCCUUUAGGCAGGAACACUGGCUGCAAGUGUACUAUAUCAAUCCUGGCGCUGCUGCAGGAGUUAGUCAUCCUCUGAGUCACUCUCUCCCCUGGUUGGGACACAUGCCCUUAUGGAGGACAUGAGCUGGUCCUGGAUCUGUUUCCUGGGGUUCUCCUCAAGGUCUGUCUUGAUGGCACCCGACUCUGAGAUCUUCCACUCCAGUUCAUCCCUCGUCAAGUUCAUGCCACCGAACACCAAAGGCCCAAUGAACUGAGCUCUGAUGUCUCCGUCAAGGUAGACAAAUAUCGUAGGCAGAUUCUUAUCGGGAUAGUUGGGUAUGCAGGUGGUAGAGAUAGCUUUGAUGAAUUUCACAUCUCUGAACUUUUUUGCAAGUCCACUUAAAUGUUGGUUUAUUAAGGCACAAAGUGGAAUUCCCUGUUUGUAGAGGUGCAGGACUACCCAUAUACCUUUCCCAGCCUUCGUAACCUCUUGAACGUAAUCCUUUCCCAAAAUCUCCAGAACUUCUCCAAAUUUAUUCUUCAUUUGAGCUGCUUUCAUUUCUGCUAAUCUUUGCUGUCUGUACAUUUCAAUAGCUUUCUCAUCUUCCUCAUUAAAUUCAUCCUCGUUUUCUUCUAGCUCCUCCAGAGUCAUGUCCUCAUACGUUUUCACAAGAGACUUCUGAAGGAUUUCAAACUGCUCCUCUUCCUUGGCGCGCUCCUGCUCUUCUCUGUUUUCCUUUGGAGGAAGGAUACCUUUCUUGCGCAGGAUGUCAUUCCACUCGGUGUCUUUCUCUGGGUCCUGCAUCUUGCCUGCGGGACGGCGACCCGGAAAGCAGCGGCGCUGGGCAGGGCCGGUCCCGGCGUGCGCGGCGCAGAGAGGCGGCGCUGCCGCACGGGGCGGGGCCGGUGUCGCCACUGCCGCUUCCCGGAGCGCCUAAUAAGGCCGGGCCUGCUUCAGUGCGGCCUCUUCCCGAUUGGAGGCGCGGUGCUUUCAGCUUUGCGGGUGACGCUGAUCUUGUGACAUACGGCUACAGACCGUGGGUCUCUGAGUGCUUCUCGUCUGCCUCUUGCAAGCAAGCUGUGUGAAAAUGCAGGCAGUGCUUUCCAAAUUAGAGGGAAAGGAUUGAAAUCCAGCUCCCUGGGGAGCCCGUGCCAGGGCUCAAGCACCCUCAGGUGGUGCCUAGAUAGUCACUUGUACAUUGGUUUUGAGCCUGUCUUAAAGCAUCACUGAGCAACCACGGAGGAAUGGGCUGGGUGUGGGCUCCCUAACCCCUCUGGAGCUUUAGUCUCAUGCCGACACGUAGGAAAGUCCAUCCCCUCAUCAUUCCAUUGGGGUCAGCACCCCAUUCCCUAACAACACACACUUCCACACCUGCAAAAAAUUCAGCUGUCCUUAUGCUUUCUUCAUUUGGUGCAGUAGUUUGUUAGCCAGCACACUCAGAAACGGCAGCCUAGCCCUGUGACCCCAGAAACUACCCCACACAGCCAGCCUGCAGGCCUUGAGAUUGUUCUUUUUCUAUGCUCCAGCAAGGGGCUGAAGUAAAACUUUAUGUCUCCUUGCAACCCAACUAGAUUUUUGCUGUGCUAACUGCGAGACUUUUUACUGAAUGGAAGGCACAAUCACCUGUCCUCCCUCUGAGACUGACAGUUGACAGUGAUCAUUAAAAUGAAUAUUUGGAUGCAUGGAAUGUGUCCCAUAUCCACCUUCUGUGGCCCUGAAGUAGGGGAAUACUCAACUUGAUGUUUAGGUGCACCAGAUGUUCAUCACUGUGGAUGCUGUGGUUGUCUGAGUGGUGCUGGAGCCACAGUUAUAGAUUACACAAGAACUUUGAAGCCAGCAUCUGAGCUGAGGUUUUUAGGAUUGCAAUUUUGGAAUCUACUGCAGGCCCG